GUGGGGAAUAUUGGACAAUGGGCAAAAGCCUGAUCCAGCCAUGCCGCGUGUGUGAAGAAGGUCUUCGGAUUGUAAAGCACUUUAAGUUGGGAGGAAGGGCAGUAAGUUAAUACCUUGCUGUUUUGACGUUACCGACAGAAUAAGCACCGGCUAACUUCGUGCCAGCAGCCGCGGUAAUACGAAGGGUGCAAGCGUUAAUCGGAAUUACUGGGCGUAAAGCGCGCGUAGGUGGUUUUGUAAGUUGGAGGUGAAAUCCCCGGGCUCAACCUGGGAACUGCCUCCAAAACUGCAUGACUAGAGUACGGUAGAGGGUAGUGGAAUUUCCUGUGUAGCGGUGAAAUGCGUAGAUAUAGGAAGGAACACCAGUGGCGAAGGCGACUACCUGGACUGAUACUGACACUGAGGUGCGAAAGCGUGGGGAGCAAAUGGGAUUAGAUACCCCGGUAGUCC
This 450-nucleotide ribosomal RNA is filed under the name uncultured bacterium. Its description in RNAcentral is "partial 16S ribosomal RNA". It matches the Rfam family "Bacterial small subunit ribosomal RNA", at positions 354 to 796 of the family's 1533-position model. The record is from RNAcentral.